AGAGAGAGCAUCGUUCUUCUAUUUCCUUCUCCUCUUCCCUGUUGCACCGCCUUUCUGUUCUUUGGGGUUGAUUUUCUCUGCUCACCAUCAGCUAUGUCUCUUCCUCGCCAUCACGUACCACCGUUGGGAGUGUUGCUGUCACCAGAUCCUCUCCUUGCCACCGCCCCUGUUUCGUCCUAAUCUUCUCUACUGUAUCGUUAGUCCAAUGAUUUCUGAUGUUCUUCCCUCUCGUUCGUGCGGCAAAUUGAAGCUUUUCCUUUCCUUCUUGGUGCCGACCAUGUGCUGAUUAUAACUGUCACUACUACACUUUGGGUUAAGAGAUGGGCAUUCCAGAUUGACAUUUAUGGAUGCAAAUGCUGAUCAUGUUUGGCACGUUUUCAAGGGAUAGUGUUUCCAAAGCAGAAGAUGAAUGUGAAGCUCAUCAUUUUCAUUCUCAUUUGGCA
This is a long non-coding RNA of Prosopis cineraria, 443 nucleotides long. RefSeq lists it as uncharacterized. The record is from RefSeq and is a predicted model, not a curated record. NCBI's taxonomy places the organism in Eukaryota, Viridiplantae, Streptophyta, Magnoliopsida, Fabales, Fabaceae. The transcript has 3 exons.